UACGGGGGGGGCAAGCGUUGUUCGGAAUUACUGGGCGUAAAGCGCGCGUAGGCGGAUCUGCAAGUCGGGGGUGAAAGCCCGGGGCUCACCCCCGGAAGUGCAUUGGAAACUGACGGACUCGAGUCCCGGAGAGGAGGGUGGAAUUCCUGGUGUAGCGGUGAAAUGCGUAGAUAUCAGGAGGAACACCGGUGGCGAAGGCGGCCCUCUGGACGGUGACUGACGCUGAGACGCGAAAGCGUGGGGAGCAAACAGG
This 253-nucleotide ribosomal RNA is filed under the name uncultured bacterium. RNAcentral's name for it is "partial 16S ribosomal RNA". It matches the Rfam family "Bacterial small subunit ribosomal RNA", at positions 524 to 776 of the family's 1533-position model. The record is from RNAcentral.